AGAGCUCUGUUAGGAUAAUCUAUCUGUCAGUUAUUAUGCUACUAAAUUUGUAUAGUUAUCCCAAUUUGCACCAAAGUUGAUUUCCACAGAGGCCAAGAGGGCUAGGCGACUUCUCAAAGGAUUAAGGCCGUAGAUUUGUUAUCGUGUGGUAAUGUUUAGGCCAACCACUUAUGCCUCGUGUCUUGAGAUUGCUCAGCUUGCAGAAGAGUUGAUUUCUACCAGGAUAAGACAGGUUGGUAGUUCCCAAUUUUCUUACAAGCCAAAGAGGA
RNAcentral lists this long non-coding RNA (269 nucleotides) under Carica papaya (papaya). RNAcentral's name for it is "long non-coding RNA (CPAP_LNC013020)". The record is from RNAcentral. Lineage: Eukaryota; Viridiplantae; Streptophyta; Magnoliopsida; Brassicales; Caricaceae.